Molecule: long non-coding RNA, 2996 nt
Organism: Mobula hypostoma (lesser devil ray)
Lineage: Eukaryota; Metazoa; Chordata; Chondrichthyes; Myliobatiformes; Myliobatidae
Exons: 3
Source: RefSeq, a predicted model, not a curated record
AUGGUUUCCCAAUGAUUUGGUUGUAUGGAGACCUUGCAUUUUAAAUGUCCUCCUAUCCAACACCAUCAGACCACAAAGACCACCGACCAAAUGACCACAAAAACUUAAAGACCACAGUCAACAUACAUCAAAGUUGCUGGUGAACGCAGCAGGCCAAGCAGCAUCUGUAGGAAGAGGUGCAGUCGACAUUUCAGGCCGAGACCCUUCGUCAGGACUAACUGAAGGAAGAAAAAGACAUUUAAGGAGCAUGUAGCUUUCAAGCCAUGUAAAUAUUUCCUGCUCAGAGCAAUGGUUGGUCCGCACAGCUGAAAAAAAAAAGAGAUGGUGCCUGACUUGCUGAAUUUCUCCAGGAUUUUGUGUGAGUCGCUUUGGAUUUCCAGAAUCUGCAGAAUCUCUUGUGUUUAUCGUUAAUAGUCUGAUUUGGUCCAAGCACACACUCUAUGGCCAAGAAAGCUCACCAGUACCUCAGCUUUCUCAGGAGGCUAAGGAGAUUCACAGUGACCCUUACCAACCUUUAUUGAUGUAUCAUAGAAAGCAUCCUAUCUAAAUGCACUAUGGCUUGGCGUGUUAAUUGUUCUGCCAGAGAUGGUAACAAGCUGCAGUGUGGUGCACCCAGCAUAGCACAUCACAGAAACCAGCCUUAUCUCUAUGGACUCAGUCUACUCCUCACUGUCUCAGUAAAGCAGCAUGCAUAAUCAAAGACCUUACCCACCCUGGAUAUUCUCUCUUCUUCCACCACAUCAGGCAGAAGAUAUACAAGCCUGAAAGCAUGUUCAACCAGGGUCAAGGACAGCAUCUAUCCCACUGUCAUUAGGCUUUUGAACAGACCUCUUGUUUGAUAAGAUGGACACUUGACCUCACAAUCUAUCUCACUAUGAUCGUACACUUUGUCUUCUUGCACUGAACAUUCUCUGUGACUAUAACACUUUAUUCUACCUUAUGUUAUUGUUCUCUCUUGUAUUAUUGUGCGCAUGCAGCCUGGUACGGCCAUUCCGAUCUAUUCUUACUUUCUUCUUCUUACUUUUCAACUUACGUUAUUUUUUGUAUUUUUUUCUCACGGUAACACAUCGAAGCUGCACCCUCCCUAACAUGCUGGUAGGGAGAGUUUUAUUUGGGUUUUCUUUAGCGCUGGAAAUGGUUACAUCCCAACAUGCGGGACAGAAGCAAGGUCAUAUUGUGUAUUCCACGGAACAGCAAAUACCAGCGGGUUUAGCGAACAGAGUGGCGGACACCCCUGCUGAAAUCCGGAGGAAAACACACAGAGGAUGCAGAGGGGGAUCACAAAACUGAGGAAAGAGGACCGGGUCGAGGCGACAGAGACUUUUGGAGAAGAGGAGUUCGGUGGGUAAUACUGUUCGGGCUGACCGGAAGUGCACUGAGAGCGGUAAGCGUAAGGGAGUUUGGUGCUUACUGAUCUGGUUAACAACGGAUGGUGCAAUCCGGGGCAUAUUACGAUCGAGGCAUGUGUUUUCAGACUGGAUAUUGAACUUUUUACUGUUGGACUUCGGCCACAUUCCACCGUGAUACAACACUUGGCGGCACGGGAGGUCGUUCCUGCCUGUGGCCAUCGAACAUGCAGCUCCUCCCAUGGAGGGUCAGACACCCUGAGCCAAUAGACUGGUCCUGGACUUAUUUUCCAUCUGGCAUAGUUUGCAUUUUGUUGUUUGAUUGUUUGGGCGGUUUUGUAUUGCUAUAUUUACGCUCUAUUCUUGGUUGGUGCGGCUGUAACGAAACCAAAUUUCCCUCAGGAUUAAUAAAGUAUAUUUAUCUAUCAUCUAUCUAUCUAUCUACCUCAGUGUACUGAAGUGAUGAAAAGGUCUGUUUGGAUGGCAUGCAAAACAAGUUUUUCACUGUGACAGUAAUAAAUAAAUUACAAUUUACAGGAAGGUUCCAAAUGUGCUCUCACGUAUUCCCUCUCCAUUUGUGGGAAGACUUCCCUACUUGGAGUUACAUCCCUGUGCCUUUAUCAGUGUUAGAAGCUCUCUCCCCUCAGCAACCAAGACAUGUCCAUCAUUGUAGAAAAUGGCUUCUUGAUGAGUUUGGACAGCUGCCAAUCAAAGGUUUGGAGGAAGGAAGAAAAUAUUGGAAGUGGAAGGUGCCUGUCAGUUGUGAAGUUGGGUUCAACUCUGCUGUUGUCUUUCAUUUGUUCUCAGUGUUGCUUUGCUGAUUCUGAAUUAGCUUCCACAUUGGCCAAUGUGCUACAGGGGGAUCUUCCAUCACAUUAAUGUUACAUAAUAAAUAAUGCUUCUUAGGUUGACUGCCGGGAAAGAAUUGAAUCCAGGCCAGAAGAUUAAAGAUUAGCUUUAUUACACUUACAUUAGAGCAUACCAUGACGUGGGUUGUUCGUGUCACAUCAAUUUACCAAGGAUUGUGCUGCGGGCAGCCCCCAGGAUUUGCCAUGCUUCUGGUGGCAACGUAGCAUGCCCACACACACCAACCCUUCCUCUACCUCUUUGGAAGGAAACUGGAGCACCUGGAGGAAACACACGUGGUCACAGGGAGAACAUACAAACUCCAUACAGACAGACCGGGUAUCAAACCCUGAUCAGUGAUUGCUGUAAAGCGACUGUGCUAACCACUAUGCUAUUGUGUCGCCCAUGGUUUUCACAUUUCCUUUGCAUGUGUGACUGAACCAGAAUCUUGCACCAAUCAACUUCCCAGCUCUUGACUUCAACCCUCGCCCUCCCGGUUUCACCGAUCACCUUGUGUUUCAACCUCCCCUCCCUCCCCCCACCUUUUAAAUCUACUCAUCUUUUUUUCCUCCAGUCCUGCCAAAGCAUCUCAGCCCGAAAUGUUGACUGUACUUUACCCCAUAGACACUGCCUGGCCUGCUGAGUUCCUGCAGCAUUGUGUGUGUUGCUUGAAUCAGUUAUUGUUGGUUACAGACUGUGUCUGGCUCCCUGCUGAAGUUGGGCACAUUAGAGUCAUAGAGUCCUGGAGUUAUACAGAUUGGCCCUUGAUCCCAACUCAUCCAGGCUGACCCAGGUGGCCAUCCA